UAUAUAUAUAUAUUAGUGUCAGACUCUUGGGGAAAAAAAAGGCUUUUUUGGAUGUUUAAGGAUUAUACCUGGAACCAUUCCUGGAAGGGAAUCCUUGUUAACCUUUAAGGCUACAAAAACUGAAAAAUGCAUCAUCGUGCUAAAUACAACCUUCUUCCUCCCAGCACACAUGGAACUGUGCUGUUCUAGGAAAAUAAUCAACAGUGGGGUGGUGUGAUACAGCCUGACCCAAACUAAUGCAACUCUUACCACCACGAAGCUGAUUAUUUUCCAAUAACAGCACAUCCCAAAGUGUUUUAUUUAUCUUGUACCACAGCAGUUUGCCAACUCUAACAUUCUUUUUUAUUUAAAGAAAGACACAACGUACUUUUUAUCCAUUUAUAGUUACGUUUGAUGUUGUGGAACAUCCAUGAAACCAUGAAGUACCUGUUUAUCGCUUACUUUGUAAGUUUGAGAUGUCAGUCAUGUUCAUUACCGUUUCAGUGAUUGGCACUUGGCAGGCAGGAAGCCCCUCUGAGAGAGAUCUUCCAGUCAUCAUACGGAGAAGCCGUGCAAAACUAUCCAAAAACCUAAAGACAUUCCUGCUAUGAAUCUUUUGACACACAUCUCAUCAAGUGAAGGUACAUGCCAUUGAUGAGGUAAUCAGAUUCCUCGGUGGUGAGCGGCAGAGCUUUCUUCCUCCUGUGACGUCGAACCCGCAGCCUGCAGCCCACCAUCAGCAAGAGCACAGCGCUAAUAAUCAC
This is a long non-coding RNA of Pangasianodon hypophthalmus (striped catfish), 743 nucleotides long. RefSeq lists it as uncharacterized. The transcript is spliced from 3 exons. The record is from RefSeq and is a predicted model, not a curated record. NCBI's taxonomy places the organism in Eukaryota, Metazoa, Chordata, Actinopteri, Siluriformes, Pangasiidae.